GCAAGGUUAAAACUCAAAUGAAUUGACGGGGACCCGCACAAGUAGUGGAGCAUGUGGUUUAAUUCGAAGAUACGCGCAGAACCUUACCAACACUUGACAUGUUCGUCGCGACUCUAAGAGAUUAGAGUUUUCGGUUCGGCCGGACGAAACACAGGUGCUGCAUGGCUGUCGUCAGCUCGUGUCGUGAGAUGUUGGGUUAAGUCCCGCAACGAGCGCAACCCUCACUUUUAGUUGCCAUCAUUAAGUUGGGCACUCUGAAAGAACUGCCAGUGAUAAGCUGGAGGAAGGUGGGGAUGACGUCAAGUCCUCAUGGCCCUUACGUGUUGGGCUACACACGUGCUACAAUGGCAUCUACAACAGGAAGCAAAACGGCAACGUUAAGCAAAUCCCGAAAAGAUGCCUCAGUUCGGAUUGCACUCUGCAACUCGAGUGCAUGAAGCUGGAAUUACUAGUAAUCGUGGAUCAGCGUGCCACGGUGAAUGCGUUCCCGGGUCUUGUACACACCGCCC
RNAcentral lists this ribosomal RNA (509 nucleotides) under uncultured Alphaproteobacteria bacterium. RNAcentral describes it as "bacterial SSU rRNA". It matches the Rfam family "Bacterial small subunit ribosomal RNA", at positions 888 to 1395 of the family's 1533-position model. The record is from RNAcentral. Lineage: Bacteria; Pseudomonadati; Pseudomonadota; Alphaproteobacteria.